This 1847-nucleotide long non-coding RNA is filed under the name Lathyrus oleraceus (garden pea). RNAcentral describes it as "Pisum sativum (pea) long non-coding RNA (PSAT_LNC008587)". Lineage: Eukaryota; Viridiplantae; Streptophyta; Magnoliopsida; Fabales; Fabaceae. The record is from RNAcentral.
AAUGUCAAUGGAAAUAUUAUACAUACUUGGUACUGAUACAUGCAUAGUAGUCUGAAAACAACAUAAGUACAUAAGUACAUAAGAUAACACAAUGGUGCUCCAUCGUUUUUGUAUUUAAUUCAAGUACAAAAUGUCACAACGUACACAAAUAAACGCACAACAAAAACAAAAGGGUAGGGUAAUCAAAUCGGACAUGUCACGUGCUUCACGCCACCUGCCCUUACCGGCCACCUGCCCAUAUGUAAAGAAAAGAAACAUGGAGUCAGAUGACAAAUCACAGCGAGUCCUCAAUACUUAUAACCGAGAUACUCAUGAUCUCGAAAGAUACCAAGACAUAAUUCAUCCCAUGCACUACAGAAACAAUGACAUACUAUCUCAUAUACCUAUAUGAACUCACAGAUCAUGACCAUUCCGGUCUCCCACAACCCUAGCCUAGAUCUUAUCAUAACUAUCCUACUACAACUAUGUGAGACUUCGGUUCUGUUUCCGAGUCAUACUACCGGUACAUGUAGUGAGAUAUGUCAUUUCCUACUUGCGUACACAUUAGAUUUGUAUUGUCCUUUACACUAUAGGACUAGGGUUAUCUUAUAAUUAUUACUCGGUUCUGUUCUCUAAGUAUAGAUCCAUUAAACGAUUUAUUCUAGAGACGUUCAGCUUUACUUGAUCACUUGAGACUUCCUUUGAUCGAAUACGGUAAUCACUUCCAUUUCCUAAUCCUAAAUCAUCACUAGCCCUAUUGAUUUCCCCUAAGUUAUACCAUCAAAUCCUAAGCUAUACUUCAUUCCUGGACCAUUACCUAUUUGCAAGGCCUAUACUACCUCGCAUACAGAAUCCGGAGCUUUAGAUUAUGAACAUCACAAGCGGGAUGGGGAAGCUGGGCUCAUUACGGUCUGGCCGUAAUGUGGGCUAUGGCCCAUAAUGUGCCCAAGCAUCCCUAGUACAUUUUUCCCGGGGCUGUUACGGCCCACCUGUAAUGCACGUUACGACCUGUAACACGCCCAGGCUCGAAAUUUCAUCUUCUUCCUCAUGUGUACCUGCAAACACAGUUUUCCAGCUCUCUUUUCUUCCAUGCAUUGCACUGCACGCAUGAUCAAUCACUGUAAUAACAGUAUAAGGCAACAUGCACCCAAUCUAACACAUACUCAGGAGUUAUUUCAUGCAUUCCCGUCAUUGCUAUCUAGCAUGCAAUAAUUCUAUUUCAACUACCCAAGCAUCAAAGCCUAAGAGAACCCACCUUGAGGAUGAUUCUGAGCUCAAAGAGGUUGAAGAGAGAUGUAGAUAAACCCUGGAUGCUCCUUCCUUGAUGUUCUAGCAAGACUCUCUCUUCUACAUGCAAGGUGUAUGGAUGUGGACUUGAAACCUCCUUCCCUCUUCUCUCGCCCCUUCUUUCUCUCCACCUUGGCUCUCCUCUCCUUCUCACACUUACAGGUUCUGAUUGUGAGGUGAAUUAUGUGAGAAAUCUCUCGCAUCUUGGUAAAAUAUGGUGAGGUAGUAAGUAAAACUCCUAAUGCCCUCAAUUUAAUCAAUAAUGCCAAAACACUCAUAAUGUUUCUAACUAAGUAAAACUCUCUUCUUUAACAACAUAAUCACUACUAACUUAAUUUACAAAAUAGGAGGUAUUACAUUUUGUAUCAAUAAAAGAAGUUCAGAAUAGAAACGUUUUCAUUUGCAAAGUGGGGAUUGUUAUUAAGCUUUGAAUGCUUAUUUUAUUGAACAAUUUGGGUAAAUAUUGAAUUGUCUGCAGAACCUGGGAACUGAUGGCACCAUGGACUGGAGAUCAGAUAAAAGUACCUGUCAAGUUCAUUGUAGGAGACCUGGACCUUACAUAUAACACGCCAGGCGUUAAG